CCAGAUCAGAAGCGAGAAUGUUGACAUGAGUAGCGACAAAGAGGGUGAGAGACCCUCUCGCCGUAAGUCCAAGGGUUCCUGCUUAAAGCUAAUCUGAGCAGGGUAAGCCGGCCCCUAAGGCGAGGCCGAAAGGCGUAGUCGAUGGGAACCACGUUAAUAUUCGUGGGCCAGGAGGAAGUGACGGAUCUCGAAGGUAGUUUGCCCUUAUCGGAUUGGGUGGGCUGCUCAGAGGUUCCAGGAAAUAGCCCUCCAUCAGACCGUACCCUAAACCGACACAGGUGGACUGGUAGAGUAUACCAAGGCGCUUGAGAGAACCACGUUAAAGGAACUCGGCAAAAUGCCUCCGUAAGUUCGCGAGAAGGAGGCCCCAUAUCUGGGCAACCAGGUGUGGGGGGCACAAACUAGGGGGUGGCGACUGUUUACUUAAAACACAGGGCUGUGCGAAGCCGUAAGGCGACGUAUACAGUCUGACGCCUGCCCGGUGCUGGAAGGUUAAAAGGAGGGGUGCAAGCUCUGAAUUGAAGCCCCAGUAAACGGCGGCCGUAACAAUAACGGUCCUAAGGUAGCGAAAUUCCUUGUCGGGUAAGUUCCGACCUGCACGAAUGGCGUAACGAUCUCCCCGCUGUCUCUAACGUGGACUCAGCGAAAUUGAACUGUGUGUCAAGAUGCACACUACCCGCGGUUAGACGGAAAGACCCCAUGCACCUUUACUCCAGCUUUGCACUGGUAUCAGGAUUGUGAUGUGCAGGAUAGGUGGUAGGCAUCGAAGCGGGGACGCCAGUUCUCGUGGAGCCUCCCUUGAGAUACCACCCUUCGCCAUCUUGAUAUCUAACCGCGGCCCGUUAUCCGGGUCCGGGACCCUGCAUGGUGGGGAGUUUGACUGGGGCGGUCGCCUCCCAAACAGUAACGGAGGCGCGCGAAGGUAGGCUCAGACCGGUCGGAAAUCGGUCGUUGAGUGCAAUGGCAGAAGCCUGCCUGACUGCAAGUCUGACAAGACGAGCAGAGACGAAAGUCGGUCAUAGUGAUCCGGUGGUCCCAAGUGGGAGGGCCAUCGCUCAACGGAUAAAAGGUACGCUGGGGAUAACAGGCUGAUGAUGCCCAAUAGUCCAUAUCGACGGCAUCGUUUGGCACCUCGAUGUCGGCUCAUCUCAUCCUGGGGCUGGAGCAGGUCCCAAGGGUAUGGCUGUUCGCCAUUUAAAGAGGUACGUGAGCUGGGUUUAGAACGUCGUGAGACAGUUCGGUCCCUAUCUGCCGUGGGUGUAGGAGACUUGAGAAGAGUUGCCCCUAGUACGAGAGGACCGGGGUGAACGAACCACUGGUGGACCAGUUGUCGUGCCAACGGCAGUGCUGGGUAGCUAUGUUCGGACAGGAUAACCGCUGAAGGCAUCUAAGCGGGAAGCCCCCUUCAAAACAAGGUCUCCCUUGAGAGCCGUGGAAGACCACCACGUCGAUAGGCCGGAGGUGUAAGUGCAGCAAUGCAUUCAGCUGACCGGUACUAAUUGCUCU
Molecule: ribosomal RNA, 1506 nt
Filed under: metagenome
Description: bacterial LSU rRNA
Rfam family: Bacterial large subunit ribosomal RNA
Source: RNAcentral